GGCAGGCCUAACACAUGCAAGUCGAGCGGAUGAAGGGAGCUUGCUCCUGGAUUCAGCGGCGGACGGGUGAGUAAUGCCUAGGAAUCUGCCUGGUAGUGGGGGAUAACGUCCGGAAACGGGCGCUAAUACCGCAUACGUCCUGAGGGAGAAAGUGGGGGAUCUUCGGACCUCACGCUAUCAGAUGAGCCUAGGUCGGAUUAGCUAGUUGGUGGGGUAAAGGCCUACCAAGGCGACGAUCCGUAACUGGUCUGAGAGGAUGAUCAGUCACACUGGAACUGAGACACGGUCCAGACUCCUACGGGAGGCAGCAGUGGGGAAUAUUGGACAAUGGGCGAAAGCCUGAUCCAGCCAUGCCGCGUGUGUGAAGAAGGUCUUCGGAUUGUAAAGCACUUUAAGUUGGGAGGAAGGGCAGUAAGUUAAUACCU
This 425-nucleotide ribosomal RNA is filed under the name Pseudomonas aeruginosa. Its description in RNAcentral is "bacterial SSU rRNA". It matches the Rfam family "Bacterial small subunit ribosomal RNA", at positions 41 to 466 of the family's 1533-position model. Lineage: Bacteria; Pseudomonadati; Pseudomonadota; Gammaproteobacteria; Pseudomonadales; Pseudomonadaceae. The record is from RNAcentral.